AUUGAACGCUGGCGGCAGGCCUAACACAUGCAAGUCGAGCGGAUGAAGGGAGCUUGCUCCUGGAUUCAGCGGCGGACGGGUGAGUAAUGCCUAGGAAUCUGCCUGGUAGUGGGGGAUAACGUCCGGAAACGGGCGCUAAUACCGCAUACGUCCUGAGGGAGAAAGUGGGGGAUCUUCGGACCUCACGCUAUCAGAUGAGCCUAGGUCGGAUUAGCUAGUUGGUGGGGUAAAGGCCUACCAAGGCGACGAUCCGUAACUGGUCUGAGAGGAUGAUCAGUCACACUGGAACUGAGACACGGUCCAGACUCCUACGGGAGGCAGCAGUGGGGAAUAUUGGACAAUGGGCGAAAGCCUGAUCCAGCCAUGCCGCGUGUGUGAAGAAGGCCUUCGGAUUGUAAAGCACUUUAAGUUGGGAGGAAGGGCAGUAAGUUAAUACCUUGCUGUUUUGACGUUACCAACAGAAUAAGCACCAGCUAACUUCGUG
Molecule: ribosomal RNA, 484 nt
Filed under: uncultured bacterium
Lineage: Bacteria
Description: partial 16S ribosomal RNA
Rfam family: Bacterial small subunit ribosomal RNA
Source: RNAcentral